AGUCAGGCGUCUGAUCUCCUCUCUUCGGCUUGUCAUCAAAUCUCUCCGGUUUAUCCUCCGGUCGGCUCGGUUUUCCAGCGGCUGGCCUUUCAUCGGGUUUGCCAGGUCCCUUUGGUUGCUCAUCGGGUUGCGUCGGUUUGCUAGCGCCUGGCACCGUUUCAUCGGCACGCGGUACCUUGCCAGGUCUUUCCUCGGGGCGACUUGGUUUCCCUGCCGCGGGCACUGGUUUUCUUGUCGGGGAUACAUAGUCACGAACUUUUCCUGGAGUCUGUGGCCUGGCGCCAGUAUAUCUGGAACCAACUUUCCCCGGGACUCUGUUCUCGUUGCGGAGGUCGACUCGGCUUCCCAGCUGCUGGAAUCGGUUUUGGUCGAUCGUCUUCCCGCAGUCCAGGGAUUCCUCGCGGAUAACCAGGUCGUUCCGGCGAUUCUUUCUGUGGAGUAUCAGCUGGAGAUCUGGGAGUCGAGGUGGUGAAUCUGUCAAACCUGGUGUCAUCAACGACAUCCCGCGCUACCAUACUAGUCACCUGCUCGUUGUCGAUGAAUUCGGUCGUUGACUUGGUGACAUCUCUCUGCAAGCACGUUAGAAUGGAUCGCGUUAGAAAAGGUUGCAGAACGAAACGCGUGAGACACGAUUAAGUCUUUAACGUAACGCGAGACGAGAUAACUCGUCAUCUCUUGGAUACAUGAUCUCUUGGAUGCAACAACUUCUUUAUUCAUACACAGGCUCGUAAACGUACUCGAACGGUUUCACGCAAAACUUUU
This 762-nucleotide unclassified non-coding RNA is filed under the name Bombus terrestris (buff-tailed bumblebee). RNAcentral's name for it is "misc RNA ENSBTSG00005034453.1". The record is from RNAcentral. Lineage: Eukaryota; Metazoa; Arthropoda; Insecta; Hymenoptera; Apidae.